Molecule: ribosomal RNA, 512 nt
Filed under: uncultured bacterium
Lineage: Bacteria
Description: bacterial SSU rRNA
Rfam family: Bacterial small subunit ribosomal RNA
Source: RNAcentral
UAUGGCUCAGGACGAACGCUGGCGGCGUGCCUAACACAUGCAAGUCGAGCGGGGACAUACGACGGAUAGGAAGUUUCGGAUGGAAUUGAAGAUGUAUUGUUCUAGCGGCGGACGGGUGAGUAACGCGUGAGCAACCUGUCCCUUACAGGGGGAUAACACAGCGAAAGUUGUACUAAUACCGCAUAAGACCACGGGGAGACAUCUUCCAGGGGUCAAAGGAGCAAUCCGGUAAGGGGUGGGCUCGCGUCCGAUUAGAUAGUUGGUGAGGUAACGGCCCACCAAGUCGACGAUCGGUAGCCGACCUGAGAGGGUGAUCGGCCACAUUGGGACUGAGACACGGCCCAAACUCCUACGGGAGGCAGCAGUGGGGAAUAUUGGGCAAUGGGGAAACCCUGACCCAGCAACGCCGCGUGAGGGAAGAAGGUUUUCGGAUCGUAAACCUCUGUCCUUGGUGAAGAGGAAGAGACGGUAGCCAAGGAGGAAGCCCCGGCUAACUACGUGCCAGCAGCUGC